Molecule: ribosomal RNA, 253 nt
Filed under: uncultured bacterium
Lineage: Bacteria
Description: partial 16S ribosomal RNA
Rfam family: Bacterial small subunit ribosomal RNA
Source: RNAcentral
UACGAAGGGGGCUAGCGUUGUUCGGAUUUACUGGGCGUAAAGCGCACGUAGGCGGAUCGUUAAGUCGGGGGUGAAAUCCUGGAGCUCAACUCCAGAACUGCCUUCGAUACUGGCGAUCUAGAGUCCGGAAGAGGUGAGUGGAACUCCUAGUGUAGAGGUGGAAUUCGUAGAUAUUGGGAGGAACACCAGUGGCGAAGGCGGCUCACUGGACCGGAACUGACGCUGAGGCGCGAAAGCGUGGGGAGCAAACAGG